AUUGAACGCUGGCGGCAGGCUUAACACAUGCAAGUCGAGCGGGGUGAUGGUGCUUGCACUAUCACUUAGCGGCGGACGGGUGCGUAAUGCUUAGGAAUCUGCCUAUUAGUGGGGGACAACAUCUCGAAAGGGAUGCUAAUACCGCAUACGUCCUACGGGAGAAAGCAGGGGAUCACUUGUGACCUUGCGCUAAUAGAUGAGCCUAAGUCGGAUUAGCUAGUUGGGGGGGUAAAGGCCUACCAAGGCGACGAUCUGUAGCGGGUCUGGGAGGAUGAUCCGCCACACUGGGACUGAGACACGGCCCAGACUCCUACGGGAGGCAGCAGUGGGGAAUAUUGGACAAUGGGGGGAACCCUGAUCCAGCCAUGCCGCGUGUGUGAAGAAGGCCUUAUGGUUGUAAAGCACUUUAAGCGAGGAGGAGGCUCUUUUGGUUAAUACCCAAGAUGAGUGGACGUUACUCGCAGAAUAAGCACCGGCUAACUCUGUGCCAGCCGCCGCAGUAA
Molecule: ribosomal RNA, 503 nt
Filed under: uncultured bacterium
Lineage: Bacteria
Description: partial 16S ribosomal RNA
Rfam family: Bacterial small subunit ribosomal RNA
Source: RNAcentral